RNAcentral lists this ribosomal RNA (383 nucleotides) under uncultured bacterium. Its description in RNAcentral is "partial 16S ribosomal RNA". It matches the Rfam family "Bacterial small subunit ribosomal RNA", at positions 523 to 904 of the family's 1533-position model. The record is from RNAcentral.
AUACGUAGGGUGCAAGCGUUAAUCGGAAUUACUGGGCGUAAAGCGUGCGUAGGUGGUUGUUUAAGUCUGUCGUGAAAGCCCUGGGCUCAACCUGGGAAUGGCGAUGGAAACUGGGCGACUAGAGUGUGGCAGAGGGUAGUGGAAUUCCUGGUGUAGCAGUGAAAUGCGUAGAGAUCAGGAGGAACAUCCGUGGCGAAGGCGACUGCCUGGGCCAACACUGACACUGAGGCACGAAAGCGUGGGGAGCAAACAGGAUUAGAUACCCUGGUAGUCCACGCCCUAAACGAUGCGAACUGGAUGUUGGGUGCAAUUUGGCACGUAGUAUCGAAGCUAACGCGUUAAGUUCGCCGCCUGGGGAGUACGGCCGCAAGGUUAAAACUCAA